This 660-nucleotide ribosomal RNA is filed under the name Escherichia coli. RNAcentral describes it as "partial 23S ribosomal RNA". It matches the Rfam family "Bacterial large subunit ribosomal RNA", at positions 165 to 867 of the family's 2925-position model. Lineage: Bacteria; Pseudomonadati; Pseudomonadota; Gammaproteobacteria; Enterobacterales; Enterobacteriaceae. The record is from RNAcentral.
CAUAGGUUAAUGAGGCGAACCGGGGGAACUGAAACAUCUAAGUACCCCGAGGAAAAGAAAUCAACCGAGAUUCCCCCAGUAGCGGCGAGCGAACGGGGAGGAGCCCAGAGCCUGAAUCAGUGUGUGUGUUAGUGGAAGCGUCUGGAAAGGCGCGCGAUACAGGGUGACAGCCCCGUACACAAAAAUGCACAUGCUGUGAGCUCGAUGAGUAGGGCGGGACACGUGGUAUCCUGUCUGAAUAUGGGGGGACCAUCCUCCAAGGCUAAAUACUCCUGACUGACCGAUAGUGAACCAGUACCGUGAGGGAAAGGCGAAAAGAACCCCGGCGAGGGGAGUGAAAAAGAACCUGAAACCGUGUACGUACAAGCAGUGGGAGCCUCUUUAUGGGGUGACUGCGUACCUUUUGUAUAAUGGGUCAGCGACUUAUAUUCUGUAGCAAGGUUAACCGAAUAGGGGAGCCGAAGGGAAACCGAGUCUUAACUGGGCGUUAAGUUGCAGGGUAUAGACCCGAAACCCGGUGAUCUAGCCAUGGGCAGGUUGAAGGUUGGGUAACACUAACUGGAGGACCGAACCGACUAAUGUUGAAAAAUUAGCGGAUGACUUGUGGCUGGGGGUGAAAGGCCAAUCAAACCGGGAGAUAGCUGGUUCUCCCCGAAAGCU